UCGAGAGUUUGAUCCUGGCUCAGGAUGAACGCUAGCGGCAGGCUUAACACAUGCAAGUCGAGGGGUAUAGUUCUUCGGAGCUAGAGACCGGCGCACGGGUGCGUAACGCGUAUGCAAUCUACCUUUUACAGAGGGAUAGCCCAGAGAAAUUUGGAUUAAUACCUCAUAGUAUGUGAGAAUCGGCAUGGUUUUCACAUUAAAGUCACAACGGUAAAAGAUGAGCAUGCGUCCCAUUAGCUUGGUUAGGUAACGGUAACGGCUUACCAAGGCAACGAUGGGUAGGGGUCCUGAGAGGG
Molecule: ribosomal RNA, 296 nt
Filed under: uncultured Flavobacterium sp.
Lineage: Bacteria; Pseudomonadati; Bacteroidota; Flavobacteriia; Flavobacteriales; Flavobacteriaceae
Description: partial 16S ribosomal RNA
Rfam family: Bacterial small subunit ribosomal RNA
Source: RNAcentral